AACACAUGCAAGUCGAGGGGCAGCAUGGUCUUUGCUUGCUAAGGCCGAUGGCGACCGGCGCACGGGUGAGUAACACGUAUCCAACCUGCCGUCUACUCUUGGACAGCCUUCUGAAAGGAAGAUUAAUACAAGAUGGCAUCAUGAGUCCGCAUGUUCACAUGAUUAAAGGUAUUCCGGUAGACGAUGGGGAUGCGUUCCAUUAGAUAGUAGGCGGGGUAACGGCCCACCUAGUCUUCGAUGGAUAGGGGUUCUGAGAGGAAGGUCCCCCACAUUGGAACUGAGACACGGUCCAAACUCCUACGGGAGGCAGCAGUGAGGAAUAUUGGUCAAUGGGCGAGAGCCUGAACCAGCCAAGUAGCGUGAAGGAUGACUGCCCUAUGGGUUGUAAACUUCUUUUAUAAAGGAAUAAAGUCGGGUAUGGAUACCCGUUUGCAUGUACUUUAUGAAUAAGGAUCGGCUAACUCCGUGCCAGCAGCCGCGGUAAUACGGAGGAUCCGAGCGUUAUCCGGAUUUAUUGGGUUUAAAGGGAGCGUAGAUGGAUGUUUAAGUCAGUUGUGAAAGUUUGCGGCUCAACCGUAAAAUUGCAGUUGAUACUGGAUAUCUUGAGUGCAGUUGAGGCAGGCGGAAUUCGUGGUGUAGCGGUGAAAUGCUUAGAUAUCACGAAGAACUCCGAUUGCGAAGGCAGCCUGCUAAGCUGCAACUGACAUUGAGGCUCGAAAGUGUGGGUAUCAAACAGGAUUAGAUACCCUGGUAGUCCACACGGUAAACGAUGAAUACUCGCUGUUUGCGAUAUACUGCAAGCGGCCAAGCGAAAGCGUUAAGUAUUCCACCUGGGGAGUACGCCGGCAACGGUGAAACUCAAAGGAAUUGACGGGGGCCCGCACAAGCGGAGGAACAUGUGGUUUAAUUCGAUGAUACGCGAGGAACCUUACCCGGGCUUAAAUUGCAGAUGAAUUACGGUGAAAGCCGUAAGCCGCAAGGCAUCUGUGAAGGUGCUGCAUGGUUGUCGUCAGCUCGUGCCGUGAGGUGUCGGCUUAAGUGCCAUAACGAGCGCAACCCUUGUUGUCAGUUACUAACAGGUUCCGCUGAGGACUCUGACAAGACUGCCAUCGUAAGAUGUGAGGAAGGUGGGGAUGACGUCAAAUCAGCACGGCCCUUACGUCCGGGGCUACACACGUGUUACAAUGGGGGGUACAGAGGGCCGCUACCACGCGAGUGGAUGCCAAUCCCCAAAACCUCUCUCAGUUCGGACUGGAGUCUGCAACCCGACUCCACGAAGCUGGAUUCGCUAGUAAUCGCGCAUCAGCCACGGCGCGGUGAAUACGUUCCCGGGCCUUGUACACACCGCCCGUCAAGCCAUGGGAGCCGGGGGUACCUGAAGUGCGUAACCGCAAGGAGCGCCCUAGGGUAAAACUGGUGACUGGGGCUA
This 1429-nucleotide ribosomal RNA is filed under the name uncultured organism. RNAcentral describes it as "SSU rRNA". It matches the Rfam family "Bacterial small subunit ribosomal RNA". The record is from RNAcentral.